Molecule: ribosomal RNA, 232 nt
Filed under: uncultured bacterium
Lineage: Bacteria
Description: partial 16S ribosomal RNA
Rfam family: Bacterial small subunit ribosomal RNA
Source: RNAcentral
ACGGGUGAGUAACACGUAUCCAACCUGCCGUCUACUCUUGGACAGCCUUCUGAAAGGAAGAUUAAUACAAGAUGGCAUCAUGAGUUCACAUGUUCACAUGAUUAAAGGUAUUCCGGUAGACGAUGGGGAUGCGUUCCAUUAGAUAGUAGGCGGGGUAACGGCCCACCUAGUCUUCGAUGGAUAGGGGUUCUGAGAGGAAGGUCCCCCACAUUGGAACUGAGACACGGACCAA